CCCCACUAGGAUAGCAGGUAGGCUGAAUUCAACCAAAGAAAAAGCCAACGUGUUCCUCUGAGGGUGCUCAAACUUCAACUGCACAACCACCACACAAAUCAUGGAGCUGAAUUAGGAACCGAUCCAUGGAUAUAUCCAAUCUUAACAACAAGAGCAGUGAGUGCUUUGUUGAAGAAGGAAAAAAGUCGGGUUAUGGUAUCCUAUAUUAUCUUUACCAGAAUAAGAAUAAGACUUCUGAGAGAAAGAAGGAUUAGAUCGGGUAGUCAAAAAGUUACAGAACAAUCCUUUCUUCUUGCAGUUCGGACAUCUACAGCAGUGAGCUAAAAUCCAUAUCCAACAAGUGGGCUAAAUGUACCAUGUCAUUGGGUCAAACCCAAUCAGCAGGCCGAAGAGGCCAGAUGCUGGGCCAAACUUGGCCUGAUUCCUUCAUCCACUCUACUGUUUGGUUUUAAGGUCAGUUCUCUUCAAACCCCCCCUCUCUCUCUCUCUCUCUCUCUCAGCUCUGUUGCCUAAUGCCAUGUCCCUCUUAACGAACAAUUUUAGUUCUUCUUUCACUUUUUGCAUAUAUAUAUAUA
Prunus dulcis (almond) is the source of this 575-nucleotide long non-coding RNA. RefSeq lists it as uncharacterized. NCBI's taxonomy places the organism in Eukaryota, Viridiplantae, Streptophyta, Magnoliopsida, Rosales, Rosaceae. The transcript has 3 exons. The record is from RefSeq and is a predicted model, not a curated record.